GCGAAAGUGGCGGAAUUGGUAGACGCACCAGAUUUAGGUUCUGGCGCCGCAAGGCAUGGGGGUUCGAGUCCCUCCUUUCGCACCA
RNAcentral lists this transfer RNA (85 nucleotides) under Burkholderiales bacterium. Its description in RNAcentral is "tRNA-Leu". It matches the Rfam family "tRNA". Rfam says of the family: Transfer RNA (tRNA) molecules are approximately 80 nucleotides in length. Their secondary structure includes four short double-helical elements and three loops (D, anti-codon, and T loops). Further hydrogen bonds mediate the characteristic L-shaped molecular structure. tRNAs have two regions of fundamental functional importance: the anti-codon, which is responsible for specific mRNA codon recognition, and the 3' end, to which the tRNAs corresponding amino acid is attached (by aminoacyl-tRNA synthetases). tRNAs cope with the degeneracy of the genetic code in two manners: having more than one tRNA (with a specific anti-codon) for a particular amino acid; and 'wobble' base-pairing, i.e. permitting non-standard base-pairing at the 3rd anti-codon position. The record is from RNAcentral. RNAcentral also lists the same sequence under 2 other names. Lineage: Bacteria; Pseudomonadati; Pseudomonadota; Betaproteobacteria; Burkholderiales.